GACGAACGCUGGCGGCGUGCUUAACACAUGCAAGUCGAACGGAAAGGCCCUGCUUUUGUGGGGUGCUCGAGUGGCGAACGGGUGAGUAACACGUGAGUAACCUGCCCUUGACUUUGGGAUAACUUCAGGAAACUGGGGCUAAUACCGGAUAGGAGCUCCUGCUGCAUGGUGGGGGUUGGAAAGUUUCGGCGGUUGGGGAUGGACUCGCGGCUUAUCAGCUUGUUGGUGGGGUAGUGGCUUACCAAGGCUUUGACGGGUAGCCGGCCUGAGAGGGUGACCGGCCACAUUGGGACUGAGGUACGGCCCAGACUCCUUCGGGAGGAAGGAGGGGGGAAUAUUGCACAAUGGGCGGAAGCCUGAUGCAGCAACGCCGCGUGCGGGAUGACGGCCUUCGGGUUGUAAACCGCUUUCGCCUGUGACGAAGCGUGAGUGACGGUAAUGGGUAAAGAAGCACCGGCUAACUACGUG
RNAcentral lists this ribosomal RNA (468 nucleotides) under uncultured bacterium. Its description in RNAcentral is "partial 16S ribosomal RNA". It matches the Rfam family "Bacterial small subunit ribosomal RNA", at positions 28 to 507 of the family's 1533-position model. The record is from RNAcentral.